RNAcentral lists this ribosomal RNA (895 nucleotides) under Coleophoma eucalyptorum. RNAcentral describes it as "eukaryotic LSU rRNA". It matches the Rfam family "Eukaryotic large subunit ribosomal RNA", at positions 53 to 965 of the family's 3401-position model. The record is from RNAcentral. Lineage: Eukaryota; Fungi; Ascomycota; Leotiomycetes; Helotiales; Dermateaceae.
GAGGAAAAGAAACCAACAGGGAUUACCUCAGUAACGGCGAGUGAAGCGGUAACAGCUCAAAUUUGAAAUCUGGGUCUUUCAGGCUCCGAGUUGUAAUUUGUAGAAGAUGCUUCGGGUGCGGCUCCGGUCUAAGUUCCUUGGAACAGGACGUCAUAGAGGGUGAGAAUCCCGUAUGUGAUCGGUUGCUUGCGCCCAUGUGAAGCUCUUUCGACGAGUCGAGUUGUUUGGGAAUGCAGCUCAAAAUGGGUGGUAAAUUUCAUCUAAAGCUAAAUAUUGGCCAGAGACCGAUAGCGCACAAGUAGAGUGAUCGAAAGAUGAAAAGCACUUUGGAAAGAGAGUUAAACAGUACGUGAAAUUGUUGAAAGGGAAGCGCUUGCAACCAGACUUGCGCGUUGCCGAUCAUCUGGGGUUCUCCCCAGUGCACUCGGCCUCGCUCAGGCCAGCAUCGGUUUCGGUGGUGGGAUAAAGGCCUUGGGAAUGUAGCUCCUCUCGGGGAGUGUUAUAGCCCUCGGUGCAAUGCCGCCUACCGGGACCGAGGACCGCGCUUCGGCUAGGAUGCUGGCGUAAUGGUUGUAAGCGACCCGUCUUGAAACACGGACCAAGGAGUCUAACAUCUAUGCGAGUGUUUGGGUGUCAAACCCAUACGCGUAAUGAAAGUGAACGGAGGUGAGAACCCUUAAGGGUGCAUCAUCGACCGAUCCUGAUGUCUUCGGAUGGAUUUGAGUAAGAGCAUAGCUGUUGGGACCCGAAAGAUGGUGAACUAUGCCUGAAUAGGGUGAAGCCAGAGGAAACUCUGGUGGAGGCUCGCAGCGGUUCUGACGUGCAAAUCGAUCGUCAAAUUUGGGUAUAGGGGCGAAAGACUAAUCGAACCAUCUAGUAGCUGGUUCCUGCCGAA